Molecule: transfer RNA, 85 nt
Filed under: Escherichia coli
Lineage: Bacteria; Pseudomonadati; Pseudomonadota; Gammaproteobacteria; Enterobacterales; Enterobacteriaceae
Also listed under: 3 other names
Description: tRNA-OTHER
Rfam family: tRNA
About the family: Transfer RNA (tRNA) molecules are approximately 80 nucleotides in length. Their secondary structure includes four short double-helical elements and three loops (D, anti-codon, and T loops). Further hydrogen bonds mediate the characteristic L-shaped molecular structure. tRNAs have two regions of fundamental functional importance: the anti-codon, which is responsible for specific mRNA codon recognition, and the 3' end, to which the tRNAs corresponding amino acid is attached (by aminoacyl-tRNA synthetases). tRNAs cope with the degeneracy of the genetic code in two manners: having more than one tRNA (with a specific anti-codon) for a particular amino acid; and 'wobble' base-pairing, i.e. permitting non-standard base-pairing at the 3rd anti-codon position.
Source: RNAcentral
GUCGGUGUACUCUUAACUGGUAAAGCGGCGCCUGAUGGUUUUUUCCUGAGGGAUGUUUAUGCGGGUUCGACCCCCGCCACCGACC